Long non-coding RNA from Cyprinus carpio carpio, 1123 nucleotides. Lineage: Eukaryota; Metazoa; Chordata; Actinopteri; Cypriniformes; Cyprinidae. The record is from Ensembl.
AUCAAUGUCUUCAGGAUCAUAGGAAAAUCACAGGUAGGUGAGUUUGAUCAGGUUGAAGCAAAACUCUGCAGCGCAUUGGCCCUCCAGGGCAAGAUUUGUGGAACCCUGGGUUAAGGUGUCAGCGUUAAGGAGCAAUACUGCCACCUGGGAGCUCAACCAGAUAUGUCUCUGAUACAGCUGGAAACUCACAGACAGAGGGAAAAAUGUACAGUGUGUCAGUGGGCAGAAUGGCUCUUUACUAUGAAUAAUGAGUCGUUGAUGCAACAGAACAUUUUUGCUUCUCUGGACCAAAUAAAAAAGGUUUGGGUGGGUUGGGUGAGUUGUGGAGAAAACUAUAUGAUGGAUCUGCUGAUGCAAUUGCAGACUCGAGAGACAAAACAAGCCUCUUCAGCAGAACUGCUGUGCCAAAUCAACAUUUAGAUCCACUGCAUAUAAGAUGAAGAGAAAUGCAAGAACCAGUUCACAUAUACCAGGCCAGAGUUUGUGUUCUCAUUCAUCUCAGUGGCAGAUUCAAUGGCACAUAUACAAUCUUAAGAGUGCACAGCAAAUAUGGCUGACAAUCAAUCCAUGAAGCAACCAAAGUUUGGGUCAAAACAGGUCUUUAAAUGGAAAUGCAUGUCUUUUCACUUCGUAAACUCAUAGGUCAGAGUUUAACUCAAACCAUGGUGCACAUAAACAAAAACAUCUGUGCAACAUAUUUGUGUUCCCACUCUCAAGCAUGAGAAUAGAAGUGAAUGAAACACGAAGUGUGAACAAUCCGUCUGAAGCAAUGGCAAAAGCAAUCACUUCGGUUCCAGAAGUCUCCCUCAAGUUCAUUUACCCUCUCAUUCCUUUUGGACGAAUUUUCUUCUGAUUUUGCUGUUGCUAUUGACACAUUCCUGCCCUCCAUCAAGCGUAACAGAAGCUUAAGAAGUAAUUUACCAGUAAGACUGAGCAGAAUAAAAAUACAACAUGCUCCACUGCACUGCUGGAAUGCCAUUCUAUUCAAGCUUAAUGGAUUGAUGCUAUUAAUAAAGCGUUGUCUGUCAUAUGCUGAGCGUCCAGUUUGAAAUUAUUUUGAAAGAUGUCAUCUGUAUCUAUUAAUUCAAAUAAAUCUGUCUCCAUCUCAGUCAAUCAAAUCCAC